UAGGGAAUAUUGCUUAAUGGGCGAAAGCCUGAAGCAGCAACGCCGCGUGUGUGAAGAAGGCCUUCGGGUUGUAAAACACUUUUUGAGGGGAUGAGGAAGGACAGUACCCUCAGAAUAAGCCUCGGCUAACUACGUGCCAGCAGCCGCGGUAAAACGUAGGAGGCGAGCGUUAUCCGGAUUUACUGGGCGUAAAGCGCGUGCAGGCGGCACGGCAAGUUGGAUGUGAAAGCUCCCGGCUUAACUGGGAGAGGUCGUUCAAAACUGCCGAUCUAGAGUGCGGGGGAGGGAGGUGAAUUCCGGGUGUAGUGGUGAAAUGCGUAGAUAUCCGGAGGAACACCAGUGACGAAAGCGGCCUCCUGGUCCGCAACUGACGCUCAGACGCGAAAGCUAGGGUAGCA
This 398-nucleotide ribosomal RNA is filed under the name uncultured bacterium. RNAcentral's name for it is "bacterial SSU rRNA". It matches the Rfam family "Bacterial small subunit ribosomal RNA", at positions 355 to 770 of the family's 1533-position model. The record is from RNAcentral.